This is an RNA transcript of Culex quinquefasciatus (southern house mosquito), 1542 nucleotides long. It is a transcript of the gene named cytochrome P450 6A1, with no coding region annotated. NCBI's taxonomy places the organism in Eukaryota, Metazoa, Arthropoda, Insecta, Diptera, Culicidae. The transcript is spliced from 2 exons. The record is from RefSeq and is a predicted model, not a curated record.
UUGAAGCAGUCGGACCUAGCUUCGCAUAUUUCACAAUUUUUCAUCAAAUGUACAUUAUUCUACUGCUCGUCAUCACCCUAGCGAUACUCUUCAUCAAGCAACGCUACAACUACUGGAAGGUGCGCGGAGUGCCCUACCUGGACCCAGCGUUCCCAACCGGCAACGUCCGCGGUCUUGGCACCCGACUGAACCUCGCCGAGGUCUUGCACAGCUGCUACGAACGACUCAAGGACCGAUGUGGCCCCUUUGGUGGUAUUUUCUUCUUCCUUGGACCACAGGUCGUGGCAACGGAUCUGGAAUUUGUGAAAACAAUUCUGGUGCGGGAUUUUCAAUACUUCCACGAUCGAUCGCUGUUCUACAACGAGCGGGAUGAUCCGCUAUCGGCGCAUCUGUUCACGAUCGAAGGAUCCAGAUGGCGGGCGCUGAGGGCUAAACUAACGCCAACGUUCACCUCGGGGAAGAUGAAGCUGAUGUUCCCGAUCGUACGGGAUGUGGCGGUGGAGUUGGAGAAGUGUUUGGGCCAAGAAUUGUCUAUGGACUCGAACGUUGAGAUGAAGGACAUUUUGGCGAGAUUUACCACGGACGUGAUUGGGAACUGUGCCUUUGGGUUGGAGUGUAACAGCUUGAAGAAUCCGGGGGCGGAGUUUCGUGAAAUGGGUCGUAGGGUUUCGACGCUGCCACCUUUCACGAUGGUCAAGUUUUUCCUGGCACAGCAAAUCAAGCCGGUGGCACGUGCCCUCGGGAUGACCAUCAUGGAGCGAGAUGUUACCGACUUCUUCAUGAGCACCGUGAAGGAAGUGGUUGAAUACCGCGAGAAGAGCAAAGUCCAGCGAGAUGAUUUUAUGAACUUGUUGAUUGAGCUGAAGAAUUCGGCGAAGGAUAGCGAGAGAUUGACGUUGAACGAGAUAGCCGCACAGGUUUUCUUGUUCUUCUUCGCUGGAUUCGAUACGUCUUCGACAUUGAUGUUGUUCUGCCUCUACGAGUUAGCAUUGAAUCAGGAUGUUCAAGAUAAGGCAAGGCAGAAUGUUUUGGAAGUCCUGAAGCAUCAUGGCGCAUUAUCCUACGAUGCAGUUUUCGAUAUGAAGUAUUUGGACAGAUGUAUAUCUGAAACCCUCCGGAUGUACCCUCCGGCCGCUGUGAUAUUUCGAACCGCAACCAAGGACUAUCCCGUCCCGGAAACCGACUUCAUCAUCGAGAAGGAACUCCCAUAAACAUUUCCGUUCUAGGGAUUCACCGUGACCCUGAACUCUACCCGGACCCCAUGAAGUUCGAUCCGGAGCGAUUCAACCCGGACCAGGUGGCCAAACGGCAUCCCUUUGCCUAUCUUCCGUUUGGUGAAGGUCCCCGGCUAUGUAUUGGGAUGAGAUUCGCUCAGAUGCAAACCCGGGUUGGGCUGGCAACACUGCUGCAGAACUUUCGGUUUAACGUUUCUCCCAGGACACCGAUCCCACCGAAAAUCGUUCCAUCAAGCGGAUUGUUCGUCCCACAGGACAAUUUUUGGUUGAAUAUUGAAAGAAUCGAAUAAAGUGGCAAGUUUAAAGA